Non-coding RNA from Pelobates cultripes (western spadefoot toad), 1511 nucleotides. Lineage: Eukaryota; Metazoa; Chordata; Amphibia; Anura; Pelobatidae. The record is from the annotation of a GenBank genome assembly.
CUCAGUUCCUCCAUUUGGCUAAACCAGGUCUUAAGUGGAGGUGUUAUGGCCUGUUUCCAGAAUUGGGGGAGCACUCGUUUGGCUACAUUGAGUAUUCGAAUGGUCAUAAAUUUUUUGUAUUUGGAAUGAGGAGUAGAGGUGUGGUGCAGGAGCAUUGCUGCCAGUUCCAGGGGGGGUGGUUUGUCCGUAAAUUUCUCUAGCAUUUUGUGGAUGUUUUGCCAGUAUGGUUUGAUCUUUGCGCAUUCCCACCAUAUGUGUUAUACUACCCUCCUCUUGUUGGCAUCUCCAGCAUAGGCCGGGUUGAUCUGGGUCUAUCUGGUGAAGGAAGUGAGGUGUCCUGUACCAUUGUGUCAGUAGUUUGUAGGCUGUCUCUUGUGUUUUGCUGUGCAUGGAGCAGUGGUGUGCGAGGUAACAUAUGGACUCCCAUUCCUUAUUUGUCAGCGUGUAUCCGAGGGCUUCCUCCCAUUUCCUCAUAAAUAGGGGUGUCUCGGUCGGGAUGUCCGUUUGUAGCAUGGUGUAAAGGAAAGAUACUCCAUGUGGGAGCGGGUCUGGGUGCAUACAGACCACUUCCAGUGUGGUAUGUUGUCUAGUGAGCGCUGAGCCCUGUGGUAAGGUAUGGACGAAGUUGGUUAGCUUGGUAUAUCUGAAGUGCUGCAUGAAGGUUGGGUGCGUCUCUGUCGUCAUGUCUGUCAGUUUUUUACAUUUCCCUCCCUGCAGGACAUGGUGUAGGCGUGGGUGUGGGUCUGUGAGGAUGUCUUUAAAGGCUCUUGGGUCUAGUCCCGGGGGAAAGUCGACGUUGUGCGUCAGUAGGAGGGGGGAGGGGUAUGGUGACAUGGUCCCCUUCCUCGUUGUCCUCCUCCAUACUUUCAUGGUGUGUUUUGUGUAGAUGGACAUUUCGCCCCAUUUUGCCGUUUCUCGGCCCCAGGGUAGUCCCGAGAGUGUUCUGCCUGCCUCAGUCUCUUCCACCGUCUUCCAGAGUUUGUGCACGCUGUCUUUUGACCACUCCACAAUUCUCUGGAGGUGUGUGGCCACAUAAUAUAGGUGGAAGUCUGGGAGGGCUAAUCCUCCUUUAUCCUUAGGUCGUGUCAGGGUGGAGAAUUUCACUCUAGGUCUCCUUCCGUUCCAUACGUAUCUGGUCAUUUCUGUUCUAAGGGUACUAACAAAAGGGCCCGGGAUCUCGAUGGGGAUAGCUUGGAGGAGGUAUAGGAGGCGUGGAAGGAAGUUCAUUUUUAUUACCUGAACUCUCCCUAACCAUGAGAUGUGGGGGUACGACCAUUCUCGCAUGACUUUUUGGAACGUCUGGAGUGUAUCUGUGAAAUUUUCCUUGAACAUGUCCUCACUUCGGUUGGUCAGCCAGACUCACAAAUAUCUAAUUUUAUGUUCGGCCCAUUGGAAGGGGAAGCUUUGUCGGAGGGGGUUCGCCCGUUCAGUACGCUUACGUUAAGGAUGAAGGAUUUGCCGUAGUUAAUUUUCAAAUUGGAGAUUUUCCCAUAUAGCUGUAGAUCCCUCUG